This 620-nucleotide long non-coding RNA is filed under the name Sorghum bicolor (sorghum). RNAcentral's name for it is "long non-coding RNA (SBIC_LNC007402)". Lineage: Eukaryota; Viridiplantae; Streptophyta; Magnoliopsida; Poales; Poaceae. The record is from RNAcentral.
UGAAAGCUGCAACUUAUAAGUUGUAGCUAAACUUUCAAAACUUUGACUAAAUUUAUAGAAAAAACGCUAAAAUCUAUAGUACCUUAAUACCAUUAGAUUUAUCAUAGAAUAUAUAUAUUGAUACUCUUUUCUAUAAAGUUAAUCAAUAUUAAAAAAGUUUGACCAACACGCAUUUUAGGAGUUGCUUUCGGGCACAUUACUGAAACUGUUCUAGCUUAUAUCUGCCAGUGUAACCUGCGUCCACCGCGAUGUGAAAUGAGACAACGUUUGGGAUAUGGUCCGCAAUUGAAUAGCCUAGAACUAUACAAGAGCCCUUUUGGAUUCGGAACUAUGGCAACAAUUGACACUGUGGAAGUAUGCUGGUAAGGAUCGUGAUGACAGCUUUGCUUCAGGGCACGUUUUGUGCACGACAAAAACUACAUGACUUUCAGCCAUAUUGGGCUGUAGAAAAGGAUUUAAUCUUGCAGCCUAUGCUCCCACAGGAUACUGAGAAUCUCUAGCUGUACUGUUGUCCAGCCCCACGGCACUAAGCACACUUUUUAUGUUUGGUAUGCUUUGUUAAAGGGCUUGUUUAGAUCCUCCAAAAACUAAAAAAAAAAUAUAAGAUUAUCUGUCGCAUC